This 251-nucleotide ribosomal RNA is filed under the name uncultured prokaryote. Its description in RNAcentral is "partial 16S rRNA". It matches the Rfam family "Bacterial small subunit ribosomal RNA", at positions 525 to 775 of the family's 1533-position model. The record is from RNAcentral.
ACAGGGGUGGCAAGCGUUACUCGGAAUUAUUGGGUGUAAAGGGCAGGUAGGUGGUCCGGUAAGUGAGUGGUGAAAUCCUGCGGUUCAAUCGCAGAACUGCCUUUCAAACUGCUGGACUUGAGAGAAACAGAGGAUGAUGGAAUUCCUGGUGUAAGGGUGAAAUCUGUAGAUAUCAGGAAGAACACCAACGGCGAAGGCAAUCAUCUGGGUUUCUACUGACGCUGAGCUGCGAAAGCUAGGGGAGCAAACAG